Molecule: long non-coding RNA, 2142 nt
Organism: Nothoprocta perdicaria
Lineage: Eukaryota; Metazoa; Chordata; Aves; Tinamiformes; Tinamidae
Exons: 2
Source: RefSeq, a predicted model, not a curated record
AUAUUGCUGCCACAGAUGCUAAAAGGCCUAAGUCCAGCCUCCAGUUGCGGUGAGAGACCCAUUAGGCCCAAUGGAUUCUCAAUUGAGGCUCAAUGGAUUCCCAGCUGUAAGUACUCAUGUUGAUACACAUGUCCUCUUCCAUCCUGAACGCACUGUACAAAGUGACAGACCUUUUAUGAACUGGUUGACAUUUGGAUGUGAUGGUGGCACUGCUUUCUCUUGAAGGCAUCUCUUGGGCUUUCAUGUGAGUGCAGGAUCACUGAGGAUUUUCUGAGGCACGAAUUCAUGGAGACCACGUCAAGGGGGAGAGCGUCCAGUUUGCAGUGGCCAGGUGUGUGCUGGCUAGGACACGCCACUAGAGGGGGACACAUCCAUGUGUAAUGGGACAUGGCCACCAGCCACGAACGUGGACCUUCAGAGUGGACAUGGUGCGUUGGUGGCCAUGUGGCCUCUGUGGAUCAUCGCCAUCUAAGACCUCCUGCGCCCUGGUUGCCUAUAGCGCUGUGUGGCCAUGGGAGCUCAUACCUGGCCAUGGGAGGGCAACCUUCCUGUAAAACACCGAGACCGUUUUGAUGGUGGUGGAGUCAAUACCCAUGGUGGAAGAGGGAGAAACCUUGCUCAUCUCUCUCACUGUUAGCAUCACUCUGAAGUUUGUCUGGCCUUUUCCCGGUUUGCAGCGUGGUCCUGUGCUGAGUCUGCUCAGCACUUGGGGUAGGAUGCAACCUGUGGGGAAGAUCUGGAUCAGCCCUGACAUGGCAAGCCAGCGAUUGCUUGUGUUGGGCUCCUAUUGCAACGGUCUCUGGGUCAGUGGCAUGGUUCAAAGAGUUCCUAUGUCUCUGCACAGCCAGUCCCCAGGCUGGACAAGCUACUGCUAAAAGGAGUUACCCAAGUGUUAUCUCAUAUCCUGGGUUUUCAUGCCAGAUUCUGGACUUGCACUUCUGGUUGGAUUUGUGACACCUCAGGAGCCUCAGGACAUGUCUCUCAUGGUGUUCCUCCACCUGCUCCAGCAGCUCCAAGCCACCUCUGACCAGGACAGGCAAUAAAGAUGCACCUUACAAAAUCCCUCACUUUGUCUACAGGGUUGGCAAAGCUCAGCCAUGACUGCAAAACGGCCAGGCAUUGUGCCUGGAGAAGGAGGAGACAGAGCCCCAGCCUCUCAACCUCAUCAAGCAGCCUAUGCUGUUCCAUGGCUCCCGCUGCUGCAUAUCCCCGCUCAUCCCCGCUGCCGGCAAGCGAAACCCUGCGUGUGCGUGGGAAGAGGAGGAAUGUCCAGCAUGUCUGUCUGUGGGAUGAUGUGCCAGAGAUGUUCUCCAAGGCUCAGCUGUCUCCUUGAGGUGAAACAGCAUUGCUGCCACACAGCCAUGGAUGUCUCAUGGAUGUCUUCUGUCAACUGAGAAACAUCAGAGCCAUCUCCCAGACCUGAAACCUACUGGGACCUACAAGAAGACAUGUCCUUUCUGCCGGGAGAACUGCAAAUAUGUUGGGGGCCCAAUGGACUUCUCCCUAACCUGUAGCUAUUUUAUUUAUUUACUUAUUUAUCUAUUUAUUUUAAAUAGAACAAAUCCUUCCUUGAUGGGCACGCUAAUCUGGAGUACAUAAAGAUAUCUUGGGGUGCUGGGGACUUAGCUGCAGGCCAGAGAGGGCUCGCUCUUAGUUCCACUGUAAUUAGUGGAUGGUUGACCAAGUAAACGCUCUUAUGUGUAGUGAGAACCUCUCAGAAAAUGUGCUGCCAGCAGCUUCAGUUGGCUGGUGUCUGCACGUUGCUGUCCUCCUGCCAUGCCCAGAGCCACAUCCUCAUGCCCUGUUCAUUGUGACAACCCUGCUGUCCUCAUACAGGAAUUAAAACACAUUUUUGCUCAGUAGGAUAUGAACACUGUGAACCUUUUUCUUGUUGGUUUUGAUGAUAGUGGGAGAUCCAGGUACCUAUAGAUGCACGUAGAAACUCAGCGAACAUUUCGGAGUCUCUGCAUUAAGAAUCUUUUCUCUUUUUCUGAUGUCAAAACUGAAGCAGUGGUUGCCCAGUUUCUGAUUGACAGCUCAUCUUUUGGCCCAUAACCUGCAGUAGCACAAAAAACAAAAAGCCCCAAUUUGCUUUCUUUGCUGAAUGAAGAUGCACAUUUAAAAAGCUUCUCUUGCAAACCU